RNAcentral lists this ribosomal RNA (301 nucleotides) under uncultured bacterium. Its description in RNAcentral is "partial 16S ribosomal RNA". It matches the Rfam family "Bacterial small subunit ribosomal RNA", at positions 509 to 807 of the family's 1533-position model. The record is from RNAcentral.
CAGUAGCCGCGGGAAUACGUAGGGUGCGAGCGUUAAUCGGAAUUACUGGGCGUAAAGCGUGCGCAGGCGGUUGUGUAAGACAGGUGUGAAAUCCCCGGGCUUAACCUGGGAACUGCGCUUGUGACUGCACAGCUAGAGUAUGGCAGAGGGGGGUGGAAUUCCACGUGUAGCAGUGAAAUGCGUAGAGAUGUGGAGGAACACCGAUGGCGAAGGCAGCCCCCUGGGCCAAUACUGACGCUCAUGCACGAAAGCGUGGGGAGCAAACAGGAUUAGAUACCCGGGUAGUCCCUGUCUCUUAUAC